Quercus lobata is the source of this 397-nucleotide long non-coding RNA. RefSeq lists it as uncharacterized. The transcript is spliced from 3 exons. The record is from RefSeq and is a predicted model, not a curated record. NCBI's taxonomy places the organism in Eukaryota, Viridiplantae, Streptophyta, Magnoliopsida, Fagales, Fagaceae.
GCACAGAUCGAACAGAUACAGGGUGAUAAUAUAGUGCCGGUACAUGGGUUGCGAAGAUCACUCCGCACUGACAUACAUCCCCCUGGUUGUGGGACCGGUGACGGUAAGACGAGACCGGCGAAGGCAGUUGUGAGGAAACGAAAAGAUCGUUGAGCCGUUGAUGAUCACAAAGCUUAUGGGGUAGUUGGACGACGUGUUAUUGUUCAGCGUUCAGCUAGCGGAUAAAACUUUGAUAACAUUUUUUGGACAUACAAGACUGACAGAUUUUUGGAGAGCAUACAUGGCAGCAGAUUUUUGGAGGGCAUAUAUGUUAACAGCUGAUUUUUUGGAUAUGUUAGACACAGCUUUUGGAACAUAUUUUGUAACUAAUGAAGCUACUUAAGCAUGUUUAUGACGU